This 841-nucleotide long non-coding RNA is filed under the name Vigna radiata. RNAcentral's name for it is "long non-coding RNA (VRAD_LNC005401)". The record is from RNAcentral. Lineage: Eukaryota; Viridiplantae; Streptophyta; Magnoliopsida; Fabales; Fabaceae.
UAACUUUUAAUCUUUGGCCAGUCUAUUUUUCUUUCUCUAACAUUCAUUUCAGGUCUUUUCUUUCACUUCCUUUGCUAUUUUUCUCAAUUUUUUUUUUCUUUCAGACCUGUUCAUUCUUUUCAAUUCAACCAGAUUUUUGCAGAUCAUUUUUCUUUUCUUUUUUUCACCUCUGGCCUCACUCUUUUUCAUGCAAUCACCAAGUUCCAGGCUUCUCCCUAAAUCUCACAACUCUCUAAGGUUGAUUAAUGGAUGGGGGAAGUGGCUUGAAAUGGAUGGAAACAAGAAAAGAGGCUAAAGCUCAAAACAAGGUGCAAUGGUAAGAAAAUGGAAUGGGUAGGCUAAAUUGGCCAUGGCUGAAAAUGAAGAAUGCCUAGAUCAUAUUUAAAGUAUACCAAGAGUAAGCACAUCAACAAAGAAUCAAUGCAAAAUCAGAAUGAAAGCUAAACAUGUAUGUAUCACACAAGAAAGACAAAAACUGGCCCAAAAUCUCUCAAGGGUUAAAGAAUUGUUAAAACUGACUUGCUACUCAUCCUAUGCAAAAAUUGCUUAAUUGAAAUGAACUAAAGCUGCAAAAAAUUAAUGGUAGAACUACCUCUGCCUAAAUCUAAAGCUAAGUCUACUCUUGACAAUUCAAAUAUAAGGAAAUGAAGCUAAAAAUUGAAUGAAUUCAUCAAGGAAUGAAGAGAAGCUUGCAACAGAAUUUAAAAGCACCUAAGAAAUGCUUAAACAGAAUUACCCAACUAUAUACACCCUAAACUAGAGGUGUCAAUUUAACCCAUGGCCCCAAGACCAGCCCUAACCCACUAUUGAAAAAGCCCUAUUUUAAGAAGCCCCUUAAGUA